Molecule: long non-coding RNA, 821 nt
Organism: Clarias gariepinus (North African catfish)
Lineage: Eukaryota; Metazoa; Chordata; Actinopteri; Siluriformes; Clariidae
Exons: 2
Source: RefSeq, a predicted model, not a curated record
UGUGUGUGUGUGUGAAAGAGAGAGCCAAAUUUCAGGCAGCCACAGUGGAGUCAUUAGGACUGAUAUUAGCCAGCUGUGAAUGUGCACACGUCUAGGCUGAAGUGGGUCGUAAGGACACUGUGGGAGUUGAGAAGAUGGUUUUCCUCUAAAGAUGAGGUGAGCAUCUAGAUUGAAACAGUAACAGUAAGACUACAGCCGCAUUUAGUAUCUAUUAUAGGAGAGGUUCAGUUGUUUUAUACAAUUCAAAGAUCAAGUUCGAAAUGAUUUGUCUCAGUCCAACAUGGUUACACACUUGCAAAAUUAUAUAAAUUUACACAACUUCGGUUGUUAAAAUAAAGUUACAAAGGUUGAGUUUAGAGUUAGGGUCAGUUUUAGCAUUUCUGCAUUUUUAUAUUAGAAUGUCUCAAACUACUUAAUUCAUUUUUUUUUUUUCUAGUUUAUGAUGAUUUUGCAUAUCUAGUUUAAUUAUUAUGUAAAGGUGAUUUCAUGAUUGCAGCAGUUUUCUGCAUGAACUCAGAGUUACAGCCUUACCGGCGUUACUUUCACAGAACUGUCAAGAAGUGACUAAACAUCUUUGAAACACGGUGUAAGCGAUGUUGAAUAAAAUGAGUAAAAAGCUGUGAUGAGUCUUGAAAAUGAUUGUGAUAUGAUGCUGUGUGAAUCACUGAGAGUCAUAUUGCACUGAUGGUCUUUACCACAUCGAUUGCCUGUCAUAGCCAGGAAGAGAGGCAGCCUUUAAAUAAAAGAUGACAUCCAUUUGCAUUUGCCUCAGAUGGCAAUUAAGACAUGAUCAAAAUGAGCAGGCAAGGAUAGGGAACGAA